RNAcentral lists this long non-coding RNA (3095 nucleotides) under Ananas comosus (pineapple). RNAcentral's name for it is "long non-coding RNA (ACOM_LNC020899)". The record is from RNAcentral. Lineage: Eukaryota; Viridiplantae; Streptophyta; Magnoliopsida; Poales; Bromeliaceae.
GUUUUGUAGCUCUGUUAUUAACGAGGAAUUCUACACUGUCACACUUGCACCACGUCAUCAAUAACAAGCCAAUCACAUUUCUUCUUUUCAAACAAAAGUACAAUACAAAUACUUUUUUACAAUCAUGAUGGGACAUAUAUUCUUAAAAGGAUUAAUUUGAUUGAUUUGUUACGCCACGUCAUUAAUAUACCCGUUGCAUUCUAGAAUUUUUCGUUAUUAACGGGGUAUAAUAAUAACAACUAGCGACGCACGCGCGUUUAGAGAUGUCACCGGAUCAGAUUCGGAGCGAAUUUUUAAAAAUUCGAAGCCGAACCUGACUCCAAACCCGAGAUCCGAAUCCGAACCCGAAUCCGAUGGAUUUUAAAAAUCCAUAUUCAAACCCGAAUCCGACCAAAAACCCGAAACCCGAAAUCCGAACCCGAAAAUUUGAACCCGAAACAAUUAUUUCUUUUUUCAAUAUUUUAAAAUAUAUUAUAUUAAAUUUAAAAUUUUAAAAUACAAAUUCAAAUAUAACAUCAAAUUUUUUUAUAUAUAUUAUAUAUAAUACAAAAUAAAAUCGUGUUCGGGUCGGGUUCGGGCCGGGUUCGGGUUCGGGUCUGUCACGCCCCGGAUUACACGUUCCCCGGGCACGCCGACAAAUCCGCCGUAUACAAAGAAAUUUUCCCUGUAUACGAAGCGAUAGCUGUACCUGUAAAUCAAACACUACUACAAACAGUAGUAGAGAGCUGCUAGAGAAAACAGAAGCUAAAUAAAACAGAGUUUCAUAUACAUAGUUCAGAUCCAAAAUACAGAGCUACUCGCACUGGCGAGUUAAGUCAACUAUGUACACAAACUCGAAACAAAACCUCUACCUGCAGUAGGGCACCUCUAGCUCAGCACGUCGGGUAGGGCUCUAACUCGCGACGCCCUUGCCUCGAUCCUGAUCCACGGUCGGUGCAGCAGCCGGAACCUGUGGCUCUGCAAAAACAUAGGUAACAACUGGGCGUGAGAACUACUGUAAAACAAGUAGUCCUCAGUGGGUACCGCCCAAAACAACAUCGGUCACCCACUAAGUCUACAGAAGGGAGCAAGGAUAGAAGGAAAGCAGGAAGCAUACUCUACCGCUAUCAUCCACUACACUAUCAUGCUCUACACUAACCAACUGUAGGAAAUGUCAAAUCUGACCCAAUCCAAUCGGGACUGUAAGCAUACCCGUCCCCGGGACUGUGAAUACACCCGUCCCUGCCCCGUUGCGACUAUCGGGCUCUAUCCACUCUAACUGGUCCGUGGAGAGCAAGUCCAACUGGCAUGAGCGACACCAACGCAAAAGCACAAGCCUGACUCCGGAGUGGCACUCGUGGGCGCUACCCAACCGAGUAUGCAGCGUAUCUCUGUCGAGCUCAAUCAGGCUCCAACUAGCCAAAGUCAAGUAAUCGACUCAAACUGGUCUAACAACCAACAGGUAACGUGCCCUCGGCACAAUCUGACGCCAAAAAGGCGAUACGGGUCCACCGUCAACUCUGACGGCACCCAACAGUCCGAAACGACCUGAACGACCCUGUAAAAAUCCACUCGGCGAACCAGCACGAGUGUAAAUACAUUCUAAACUACCUGGAGUACUCGUCUCGAAGAAACUGCGACAGUACAAUUUUCUAACGGCUCCUAGAGCUAAAUCAGGUAGUUAAAACUGGUGACAGGUCCAAAUCGCAGGUUUUCUCCUAAUUCAAUUUCCAAGUCCAACAUGUAUAAUCUAUUUAAAUUAUAAAACAUGCUCGAGAAUUCAGAUUUUACCAAUCUAGAAUCAUUCAAGAAUUUGAGCCAAACUAGAUUACCAAAAUAGAGAUCUAUACAUGUCGACGAUUAUGAACUUAGGAGUCAAACCGAUGUAACCCACCUCAAGUGCAAUUUCCUGGCAGCGAACUCAGCCUCGGCCACCCGCGAUGCUGCUGGAUUCCUCAGGGACCACCUAGACCGGUCGCCGAGCUAAAACGACCAAAAUAACACAAAUCAGCCUAAGUUCACAGCAGCUGAGAAAGGUUCAGUUUCGACCAAGCUAACCUUGUCCAAAAAUUGCAAAUGAGGGCUCUGUGGAAUCCUCUCGCAGUCUAGAAUCCAAUGAACCAAGUUUCGUCGCGAUCCGACGCUCCUACGCGGAGAACGAGCCGAAAUACUAACAGUCGACGCAGGAAAUCUGUGAAAACAGCACGCGUGGGCAACUUGGAAUCGAAGAUGGAUUCGGGGAAAAAUGCGACCAAAACAACUCACCUCCACAGUGAGGAACUACGACGCGGCGACAGUAACGUCGAAGACACGCCCUCGCCCGGCCUCCUCGCAGCGCCCCGGUCACACGCGCACUCGAACGGCUCGCGGCGCGACGUCGGCGACGAACUCCCUCCAACCGCACACCAACCCGGCCUAGAGAGAGAGAGGAAGGAGAAUGGGUGAAGAAGUGAGAAAUCUCUCUCUCUCUCAGCUCACUCUGCAGCUAAAUAGAGAGAGAUGGUGACAAGAACGAGAAAAAAAAUUACUGUUUUAUCCCUCCACCAACUCCCUUGUACCGGUACACGGCUUGCUGUACCGGUACAAGGCCAAACCCGUGGGCACCAACCUCCUGUCGCGCAUCCUGUACCGGUACAGACGGACCCUUGUACCGGUACAGCAAGCGACUUCCCACGGUGGUUGUACCGGUACAGACCAACCCUUGUACCGGUACAGCAGAGUAAAAAUUCUGCAAUUUCGCAGAUUUUCACACAGAAAGAUGACCUCACGUCGCACAGAGUCCGUUUCGCGUCUAUUUGACGCCAACGUGACUCGGGCUUGUCUCGACACUCUCCAGAGCUGUCGACAAGUCCCCACUGACAGAAACUGGGUCUCACAGGGUCGGACAAUCAAAAUCCAUAUCCAAAUCCAUAUUCGUCGGGUUUCUAUUUUUUAUAUCCAUAUCCGAAUCCAUAUCCAAAUCCAUCGGAUAUAUCCAUUUCAUUCGGGUUCGGGUUCGGAUAAAAUUUCAGGUAUCCAUACCCAUUGACAUCCCUACGCGCGUUGCGAUGGAAUGAUUGCAUAAAUUAAAUAUAUAAAUAAAAUAAAAUAUAAUAAAAUAAAGUUAAAAAUUAUAU